UACGUAGGGUGCAAGCGUUGUCCGGAAUUAUUGGGCGUAAAGGGUGCGUAGGCGGUUGUUUUAAGUCUGUCGUGAAAUCCCCGGGCUCAACCUGGGAAUGGCGAUGGAUACUGGACAGCUAGAGUGUGUCAGAGGAUGGUGGAAUUCCCGGUGUAGCGGUGAAAUGCGCAGAUAUCAGGAGGAACACCAACGGCGAAGGCAGCACUCUGGGCCGGUACUGACGCUGAGGAGCGAAAGCGUGGGGAGCGAACAGG
Molecule: ribosomal RNA, 254 nt
Filed under: uncultured bacterium
Lineage: Bacteria
Description: partial 16S ribosomal RNA
Rfam family: Bacterial small subunit ribosomal RNA
Source: RNAcentral